Theobroma cacao (cacao) is the source of this 107-nucleotide small nucleolar RNA. It matches the Rfam family "Plant small nucleolar RNA R71". From Rfam's summary of the family: R71 is a member of the C/D box family of snoRNAs containing the C (UGAUGA) and D (CUGA) box motifs. The record is from Rfam. Lineage: Eukaryota; Viridiplantae; Streptophyta; Magnoliopsida; Malvales; Malvaceae.
AGGCCAUGGUGUGGACAUUUUCGGAGCAAAUCUUUAUACCUCUCCCAUGCUUCGUAUAAAGACUCGGAAUCCAACUGCGUGAAAGAAGUGAUGUCGUUUCUCAUCUU